CAAUAGCGUAUAUUAAAGUUGUUGCAGUUAAAAAGCUCGUAGUUGGAUUUCUGGUAGGAGCGACCGUGCCGAACUUGAUUGUUCGAGUAUUGUGUUGUCUUCAGCCAUCCUCGUGGAGAACUUUUCUAACAUUAACUUGUUGGGAUUGGGACCCGCGUCGUUUACUGUGAAAAAAUUAGAGUGUUUAAAGCAGGCAUUAGCUUGAAUACAUUAGCAUGGAAUAAUAAGAUAGGACUUUGGUACUAUUUUGUUGGUUUGCAUACCAAAUUAAUGAUCAACAGGAACAGUUUGAGGAUAUUCGUAUGAACAUGUCAGAGGUGAAAUUCUUGGAUUUUGAUCAGGCGAACUACUGCGAAAGCAUUUAUCAAGGAUGUUUUCAUUAA
This 383-nucleotide ribosomal RNA is filed under the name uncultured eukaryote. RNAcentral's name for it is "partial 18S ribosomal RNA". It matches the Rfam family "Eukaryotic small subunit ribosomal RNA", at positions 592 to 976 of the family's 1831-position model. The record is from RNAcentral.